UCUGAACACACAAAACACUCAGGAUAUAACCUUGCAGACCAUGUACCGGAAAAUGGUUCUUGUAUUUUCUAACUUUAGAUGUACGUCUAUAACAAUGAUUCUUGGUGAUAUCUUAAAGCACAAACAUGCUGUUUUCUAGUGCGGUUGAUAUUGCAACAAAUUUGGCCAUAUGUACAACAAAUUCCAUGAACUAGUGGCUGAAUUAUAAUUGUCCGUCUGUUGAAUCUCUUGAUGUUCCUGCUUUAUACGAAAAGUACACUACCUCAAGUAGAAAACCAUUGUAGAUGUAGAAAUCCGUUGGUAAAACUUGUGCGUCUAUCUGCACUUCUACAUUCAGCCUAUAUUCACUAUUAAAAUGCCAUGUUUCAAUCAAUCUUAGCACUUUCAGAGAGCAUGUGUUAUAUAUAUAUAAUGUAUUUACAAGGUGAAUCAAUACCAUGCAUGUUUUUACAAUAUCACACGUGCAAAAAUUAUCAUAAGUAUAAACACAAAAACUAUCAUAACACCGACAGACACAUUUUCGCUGAUCGAAAUUGACACUGCCUACAAUUCGCACAAAGUGCUUCUGAGAUACCCUUUCUUUCUUCUUUUCUUGAUAACCAAGCCAAGUGGGGGAGGAGGUACCAAAUGAAUUUUCCGAUGCAAUACAUGGUUAGCCAUCCCAAAAAUUACCUCAAAACACAUUUAGCUGCAUUCUAAACCUCAAAACCAAAACCCAAACACCAUAUGGAAUAAUACAAGCCAAGUUCAACAAUGUUGUUUAUCACUACACAGUUUCAAAAAGCUUGUAAAUCAUAUUUGUACUUAUCAGAUCAUUUGUAAUAUGACCUCUGUUUCAUUAUGUUAUUUAACGUUGUGAUUUAAACUUACGUGUUAUUUGUUCAAUUGAUUAUGUAUGGGGCCACGAAAAUACUUUAUGGCUUCUGUCCUACCCCUUCAUGUAUUUAUUUCCUAUUUUCAAUUUGUUUUAAAUUUAUGUAUAGGUAUGAGAAGAAAUAAAGAGCAAAGAACAAAUUUUUCCCCACUGCAAAACUGGAUUUGCCGUAUUUAUUUUGGUUCAAAAGGUAAGAGGUUUUCUCUGACAUUUCAACAAGCUACAGCCAGAAGAAAUGAGCUGUCAUUAUAUUCAACUACGGGUCAAAAUAUCGACACAAUUUUCUGCCAUAUUUUAAGUAGACAUGUUUCUGUCAUCCCUUACAGAAAUCUCGACCAUUGAAAUUCGCAAAGAAAAAAUAUCUUAAAAAAUAAUAAGAUAUUCAGGUCGGGGGUACGCAAGAUGCACUCGACUGCAUAACUUAAAUGUCUGUUCUCCCCAAGGCAUUCCAAACAUAAUAACUAUAAUGUUAAAUGAAAAGUUCUAGUAUGUUUGCUUAGUUUUUCUUCGGCAUGCGGUGUCUUUGACCUUCAGUUCCGGAAAACCUCGGCACUCGAACUUGUACAUCAGGCGAACCGGACCGAUCCUGAAUGCGUUUGUUCCAACCGGAAACUGUUUGUCCAGCCACCUCAGCUUCUUCCCGCUGUAUCCACGCUCUGGAUGAAGGGACGGCAUCAGUUCAGAUGACAGCCAUUUCCAAGCACCGUCCACUGAAGUCACCUGCAGGCAAGCGUGCUAUUCUGUAGCGACGUCUUGACGUAGUACGCGUUUACAUCCGUGUCCAACACCCCGAUGUAAAAGUACGUCAGGCUGAAGAUCAGCAGCAGGACCAGACGGACCAGGAUGUCUCUACCCUGCGUCAUCCGCUCGGGCCAGUUCGGGUCGUGGUCGGCUUUCUUC
Molecule: long non-coding RNA, 1774 nt
Organism: Branchiostoma floridae (Florida lancelet)
Lineage: Eukaryota; Metazoa; Chordata; Leptocardii; Amphioxiformes; Branchiostomatidae
Exons: 3
Source: RefSeq, a predicted model, not a curated record